UUUUUAAACAGAAAGUUUUUCCACCUUCUAAAAAACACAUAUUCCCAACUUGCCACACUGUAACAACCCCCAAUGUUCCUUUAAUGCAACUAGCCCUCUAAUUAUCUACUAGGCACAAACACACAUAGAUGAUUUAACUGCAUUAGGAGCAUUUUGCUUUUUCUUUAGCGAUCUUAUCAUGACAGAGGUCCAGCGUAGCCAGGUCCAUCGGAGCCACCAAAAGUUUUUUCAUCUUGCCACUGACCAUUCAAACAGGUUUUCACCUGUUGCUUACACCUUUAUCUCUGCAUCUCAGAGGCCAGCUGAAACAAACCACACCUAUAUAAAAAUCCCCUGAUCAGCCACACUAACCCUUUACAUCGGCCAUUGAGAGCAUAACACUUUGUUCACAGCACGGACAACAAACCUAAGAGCCUUCUUUUCAACAUGGACAGCAUAUAUGGUAGGUAAAACAAGACUAUAACGGAUUCUUAAAUUUAUACAACUGUAUAUCAAAAAAUAUUCAAAAUGUUUUCUCUUCUAAACAAAAGCCUGAUUUUUAGGAACAUGGCACACUGGGACAUCCCACGCGGCACAUACACAAGGAUCACAAAGCUAUAUAGGGCAAACAACACCUCUAACUAAGGAGUGCGGGAUGACGUCGGGAUCAACCAUGACGAACAGUCAGAACAUCGUCCAAGCCACAGAAGCUCUAGAGCGAAACAUGCAAGCGUGGGACCUCUCAGACUCGUCAGACUCCCCACCGCCUGCGCUGCUAAUCCAGACCCCACCACCUCCUCCCCC
Molecule: long non-coding RNA, 783 nt
Organism: Oreochromis niloticus (Nile tilapia)
Lineage: Eukaryota; Metazoa; Chordata; Actinopteri; Cichliformes; Cichlidae
Exons: 3
Source: RefSeq, a predicted model, not a curated record